UGGUUAACUCCAACUUGAAUAAGGAAGUGUGUGAAGGACAGGUCCAAGCUGUUGUUCCUCUUCAAGAUGUAGUAGCUAUCAAUAUUUUCUUCAUGCUAUAUAAAACCAGCUUCCACCAACACAGAUUUCAGUAAGCUGCCUGUUCCUAUAUGAUGCUUAUUAUCAGAAAAGCAAGCAAUUACCGAGACAAUCUCGUCCUCUGCCGGUACAGUUGCUGCUGAUAGUGCUGCUGCCAGUGCUGCUGCCCUGGCUGCCUUCCUCAUUGCUCUCUGAGCCUGGAGAUUGGUGAAGUAGUUGACAGCUGCAAACUCAAUGAGUGCAGAGAAGACAAAGGCAAAGCACACGGCGAUGAACCAGUCCAUGGCGGUGGCGUAGGACACCUUGGGCAGGGAGUGGCGAGCGCUGAUGCUCAGGGUGGUCAUGGUGAGCACUGUGGUGAUUCC
This is a non-coding RNA of Zonotrichia albicollis (white-throated sparrow), 443 nucleotides long. The record is from RefSeq and is a predicted model, not a curated record. Lineage: Eukaryota; Metazoa; Chordata; Aves; Passeriformes; Passerellidae.